RNAcentral lists this ribosomal RNA (823 nucleotides) under Thelenella modesta. RNAcentral's name for it is "SSU rRNA". It matches the Rfam family "Bacterial small subunit ribosomal RNA", at positions 363 to 1244 of the family's 1533-position model. The record is from RNAcentral. Lineage: Eukaryota; Fungi; Ascomycota; Lecanoromycetes; Thelenellaceae.
AUUGGUCAAUGGCCUAACGGCCGAACCAGCAACUUGGAGGAAUGAAUAGCGAGAGCUAGUUACGUAAAAAGUAAUAAUGACUAUGUCAUAUAAAAUUCUGGGCAUCAUCUUGAUAAUGACAGGAUAUGUCUAUAGGUCUUGACCAAUUCACGUGCCAGCAGUCGCGGUAACACGUGUAAGACAAGUGUUAUUCAUCUUUAAUGGGUUUAAAGGGUACCUAGACGGUAAAGUAAGCCAAUAUAAGGGAACUACUUAGACUAGAGUUUUAUGAGAGGUGUGAACAAACCGAACGGUAGGUGUAGUGAUGUAAUACGAUGAUAUCUAACGGACGGUCAAAGGCGAAAGCGAUAUCCUAUGUAAAAACUGACGUUGAGGGACGAAGGCUAAGGUAACCAAAAGGAUUAGAAACCCAAGCAGUCUUAGCAGAAAAUGAUGAAUGUCAUAUGUAAGAUUUUUAAUUUUACGUAUAAAUGAAAGUGUAAGCAUUCCACCUCAAGAGUAAUGUGGCAACGCAGAAACUGAAAUCAUUAGACCGCUUCUGAAACCAGUAGUGAAGUAUGUUGUUUAAUUUGAUGAUCCGCAAACAACCUUACCACAAUUUGAAUAUUUAUAUUUUUAUUUAAUAUACUUACAAGCGUUGCACGGCUGUCUUCAGUUAAUGUCGUGAGAUUUUGGUUAGAUCCAUUAAAUUAACGUAAACCCUUGCUUUAUUUUUUAUAUAAAGUAGUUCACCAACACAAUGGAUAUGAUAUAAGGGACCAAGACAAGUCAUCAUGGCCUUAAUAUUGUGGGCUAUAGACGUGCCACGUAUACCUCGACAAAG